AGGGGUGUAGCUCAGUGGUAGAGCACAUGCUUAGCAAGCACGAGGCCCUGAGUUCAAUCCCCAGUACCUCCA
This 72-nucleotide transfer RNA is filed under the name Camelus bactrianus (Bactrian camel). It matches the Rfam family "tRNA". Rfam says of the family: Transfer RNA (tRNA) molecules are approximately 80 nucleotides in length. Their secondary structure includes four short double-helical elements and three loops (D, anti-codon, and T loops). Further hydrogen bonds mediate the characteristic L-shaped molecular structure. tRNAs have two regions of fundamental functional importance: the anti-codon, which is responsible for specific mRNA codon recognition, and the 3' end, to which the tRNAs corresponding amino acid is attached (by aminoacyl-tRNA synthetases). tRNAs cope with the degeneracy of the genetic code in two manners: having more than one tRNA (with a specific anti-codon) for a particular amino acid; and 'wobble' base-pairing, i.e. permitting non-standard base-pairing at the 3rd anti-codon position. RNAcentral also lists the same sequence under 2 other names. Lineage: Eukaryota; Metazoa; Chordata; Mammalia; Artiodactyla; Camelidae. The record is from Rfam by way of RNAcentral.